Molecule: ribosomal RNA, 460 nt
Filed under: uncultured bacterium
Lineage: Bacteria
Description: partial 16S ribosomal RNA
Rfam family: Bacterial small subunit ribosomal RNA
Source: RNAcentral
CCUACGGGAGGCAGCAGUGAGGAAUAUUGGUCAAUGGACGAGAGUCUGAACCAGCCAAGUAGCGUGAAGGAUGACUGCCCUAUGGGUUGUAAACUUCUUUUAUAUGGGAAUAAAAUGUUCCACGUGUGGGAUUUUGUAUGUACCAUAUGAAUAAGGAUCGGCUAACUCCGUGCCAGCAGCCGCGGUAAUACGGAGGAUCCGAGCGUUAUCCGGAUUUAUUGGGUUUAAAGGGAGCGUAGGUGGAUUGUUAAGUCAGUUGUGAAAGUUUGCGGCUCAACCGUAAAAUUGCAGUUGAAACUGGCAGUCUUGAGUACAGUAGAGGUGGGCGGAAUUCGUGGUGUAGCGGUGAAAUACUUAGAUAUCACGAAGAACUCCGAUUGCGAAGGCAGUUCACUGGACUGCAACUGACAUUGAUGCUCGAAAGUGUGGGUAUCAAACAGGAUUAGAUACCCUGGUAGUC